GGCUCAGGACGAACGCUGGCGGCGUGCCUAAUACAUGCAAGUCGAGCGAACCAAUUGAAAGCCUAGCUUUCAUGAGGUUAGCGGCGGACGGGUGAGUAACACGUGGGUAACCUGCCCUAUAGACUGGGAUAACUCGCGGAAACGCGUGCUAAUACCGGAUAAUACAUCAAAGUGCAUGCUUUGAUGUUGAAAGAUGGUUCUGCUAUCACUAUAGGAUGGGCCCGCGGCGCAUUAGCUUGUUGGUGGGGUAACGGCCUACCAAGGCGACGAUGCGUAGCCGACCUGAGAGGGUGAUCGGCCACACUGGGACUGAGACAUGGCCCAGACUCCUACGGGAGGCAGCAGUAGGGAAUCUUCCACAAUGGGCGAAAGCCUGAUGGAGCAACGCCGCGUGAGCGAAGAAGGUCUUCGGAUCGUAAAGCUCUGUUGUAAGGGAAGAACAAGUGCAGUAGUAACUGGCUGCACCUUGACGGUACCUUACUAGAAAGCCACGGCUAACUACGUGCCAGCAGCCGCGGUAAUACGUAGGUGGCAAGCGUUGUCCGGAAUUAUUGGGCGUAAAGCGCGCGCAGGCGGUCUCUUAAGUCUGAUGUGAAAGCCCCCGGCUUAACCGGGGAGGGUCAUUGGAAACUGGGAGACUUGAGUGCAGGAGAGGGAAGCGGAAUUCCAUGUGUAGCGGUGAAAUGCGUAGAGAUAUGGAGGAACACCAGUGGCGAAGGCGGCUUCCUGGCCUGUAACUGACGCUGAGGCGCGAAAGCGUGGGGAGCAAACAGGAUUAGAUACCCUGGUAGUCCACGCCGUAAACGAUGAGUGCUAAGUGUUAGGGGGUUUCCACCCCUUAGUGCUGCAGCUAACGCAUUAAGCACUCCGCCUGGGGAGUACGGUCGCAAGACUGAAACUCAAAGGAAUUGACGG
RNAcentral lists this ribosomal RNA (915 nucleotides) under uncultured bacterium. RNAcentral's name for it is "bacterial SSU rRNA". It matches the Rfam family "Bacterial small subunit ribosomal RNA", at positions 21 to 916 of the family's 1533-position model. The record is from RNAcentral.